Molecule: ribosomal RNA, 253 nt
Filed under: uncultured bacterium
Lineage: Bacteria
Description: partial 16S ribosomal RNA
Rfam family: Bacterial small subunit ribosomal RNA
Source: RNAcentral
UACGUAUGGGGCAAGCGUUAUCCGGAUUUACUGGGCGUAAAGGGAGCGCAGGCGGCGCGCCAAGUCUGAUGUGAAACCCCGGGGCUCAACCCCGGGCAUGCAUUGGAAACUGGCGGGCUGGAGUGCCGGAGAGGUAAGCGGAAUUCCUAGUGUAGCGGUGAAAUGCGUAGAUAUUAGGAGGAACACCAGUGGCGAAGGCGGCUUACUGGACGGCAACUGACGCUGAGGCUCGAAAGCGUGGGGAGCAAACAGG